RNAcentral lists this ribosomal RNA (465 nucleotides) under uncultured Klebsiella sp. RNAcentral describes it as "bacterial SSU rRNA". It matches the Rfam family "Bacterial small subunit ribosomal RNA", at positions 338 to 795 of the family's 1533-position model. Lineage: Bacteria; Pseudomonadati; Pseudomonadota; Gammaproteobacteria; Enterobacterales; Enterobacteriaceae. The record is from RNAcentral.
CCUACGGGAGGCUGCAGUGGGGAAUAUUGCACAAUGGGCGCAAGCCUGAUGCAGCCAUGCCGCGUGUGUGAAGAAGGCCUUCGGGUUGUAAAGCACUUUCAGCGGGGAGGAAGGCGUUAAGGUUAAUAACCUUGGCGAUUGACGUUACCCGCAGAAGAAGCACCGGCUAACUCCGUGCCAGCAGCCGCGGUAAUACGGAGGGUGCAAGCGUUAAUCGGAAUUACUGGGCGUAAAGCGCACGCAGGCGGUCUGUCAAGUCGGAUGUGAAAUCCCCGGGCUCAACCUGGGAACUGCAUUCGAAACUGGCAGGCUAGAGUCUUGUAGAGGGGGGUAGAAUUCCAGGUGUAGCGGUGAAAUGCGUAGAGAUCGGGAGGAAUACCGGUGGCGAAGGCGGCCCCCUGGACAAAGACUGACGCUCAGGUGCGAAAGCGUGGGGAGCAAACAGGAUUAGAUACCCUAGUAGUC